UUUGCCUACGGGAGGCAGCAGUCGGGAAUAUUGCGCAAUGGAGGAAACUCUGACGCAGUGACGCCGCGUGCAGGAAGAAGGUUUUCGGAUUGUAAACUGCUUUAGGCAGGGAAGAUACAAGACAGUACCUGUAGAAUAAGCUCCGGCUAACUACGUGCCAGCAGCCGCGGUAAUACGUAGGGAGCAAGCGUUAUCCGGAUUUAUUGGGUGUAAAGGGUGCGUAGACGGGAGUGCAAGUUAGUUGUGAAAUCCCUCGGCUUAACUGAGGAACUGCAACUAAAACUACAUUUCUUGAGUGCUGGAGA
This 305-nucleotide ribosomal RNA is filed under the name uncultured bacterium. Its description in RNAcentral is "bacterial SSU rRNA". It matches the Rfam family "Bacterial small subunit ribosomal RNA", at positions 334 to 655 of the family's 1533-position model. The record is from RNAcentral.